ACGCUGGCGGCAUGCUUUACACAUGCAAGUCGGACGGCAGCACAGAGAAGCUUGCUUCUUGGGUGGCGAGUGGCGAACGGGUGAGUAAUAUAUCGGAACGUACCGAGUAAUGGGGGAUAACUAAUCGAAAGAUUAGCUAAUACCGCAUAUUCUCUGAGGAGGAAAGCAGGGGACCUUCGGGCCUUGCGUUAUUCGAGCGGCCGAUAUCUGAUUAGCUAGUUGGUGGGGUAAAGGCCUACCAAGGCGACGAUCAGUAGCGGGUCUGAGAGGAUGAUCCGCCACACUGGGACUGAGACACGGCCCAGACUCCUACGGGAGGCAGCAGUGGGGAAUUUUGGACAAUGGGCGCAAGCCUGAUCCAGCCAUGCCGCGUGUCUGAAGAAGGCCUUCGGGUUGUAAAGGACUUUUGUCAGGGAAGAAAAGGCUGUUGCUAAUACCGACAGCUGAUGACGGUACCUGAAGAAUAAGCACCGGCUAACUACGUGCCAGCAGCCGCGGUAAUACGUAGGGUGCGAGCGUUAAUCGGAAUUACUGGGCGUAAAGCGAGCGCAGACGGUUACUUAAGCAGGAUGUGAAAUCCCCGGGCUCAACCUGGGAACUGCGUUCUGAACUGGGUGACUAGAGUGUGUCAGAGGAAGGUAGAAUUCCACGUGUAGCAGUGAAAUGCGUAGAGAUGUGGAGGAAUACCGAUGGCGAAGGCAGCCUCCUGGGAUAACACUGACGUUCAUGCUCGAAAGCGUGGGUAGCAAACAGGAUUAGAUACCCUGGUAGUCCACGCCCUAAACGAUGUCAAUUAGCUGUUGGGCAACUUGAUUGCUUAGUAGCGUAGCUAACGCGUGAAAUUGACCGCCUGGGGAGUACGGUCGCAAGAUUAAAACUCAAAGGAAUUGACGGGGACCCGCACAAGCGGUGGAUGAUGU
This 920-nucleotide ribosomal RNA is filed under the name uncultured bacterium. RNAcentral describes it as "bacterial SSU rRNA". It matches the Rfam family "Bacterial small subunit ribosomal RNA", at positions 33 to 942 of the family's 1533-position model. The record is from RNAcentral.